Molecule: ribosomal RNA, 500 nt
Filed under: uncultured bacterium
Lineage: Bacteria
Description: partial 16S ribosomal RNA
Rfam family: Bacterial small subunit ribosomal RNA
Source: RNAcentral
AUUGAACGCUGGCGGCAUGCCUUACACAUGCAAGUCGAACGGCAGCGGGGACUUCGGUCCGCCGGCGAGUGGCGAACGGGUGAGCAAUGUAUCGGAACGUACCAUUGAGUGGGGGAUAACUAUCCGAAAGGAUAGCUAAUACCGCAUAUUCUCUCCGGAGGAAAGCAGGGGACCGCAAGGCCUUGCGCUCAUUGAGUGGCCGAUAUCAGAUUAGCUAGUUGGUGAGGUAAAGGCUAACCAAGGCGACGAUCUGUAGCGGGUCUGAGAGGAUGAUCCGCCACACUGGAACUGAGACACGGUCCAGACUCCUACGGGAGGCAGCAGUGGGGAAUUUUGGACAAUGGGGGCAACCCUGAUCCAGCCAUGCCGCGUGAGUGAAGAAGGCCUUCGGGUUGUAAAGCUCUUUCGGCCGGGAAAAAAUCGCAUGGGUUAAUACCCUGUGUGGAUGAUGGUACCGGAAUAAGAAGCACCGGCUAACUACGUGCCAGCAGCCGCCGUAA